This 21-nucleotide small RNA is filed under the name Arabidopsis thaliana (thale cress). Its description in RNAcentral is "Ath_wt_09841". The record is from RNAcentral. Lineage: Eukaryota; Viridiplantae; Streptophyta; Magnoliopsida; Brassicales; Brassicaceae.
UGAAAUGACUUGAGAGGUGUA